Long non-coding RNA from Anneissia japonica, 617 nucleotides. RefSeq lists it as uncharacterized. The record is from RefSeq and is a predicted model, not a curated record. Lineage: Eukaryota; Metazoa; Echinodermata; Crinoidea; Comatulida; Comatulidae. The transcript is spliced from 4 exons.
UUCUAGUGUGAGCAGCGGAGGAGGUUGUAAACAGAGAAAGACACAGCGGGGUUAAUUGCUACAAUGUUGGUGGACCUUCAGUUCCUUUCGGUGGCUACAAACAGUCUGGGUUUGGCAGGGACCUGGGAGAGGAUUCAUUGAAAGAAUAUCAUGAGGUUAAGACAGUAGUCAUUAAAGUGCCGGAGAAGAAUUCAUAAACUGUAUUAUUAUUGCAAUAAUUCAUAAAAGUCUUUUUCUGACAUCAUUGCAGUAGUUCUAAAUAGAUAAUUUUAAUAAUGAAAAUAAAUUUAAGUUUUUGUUCUUGAUUUCGAAAAGGCUAGUAAUUUUCUUAUUAAUUAAAUUCUAAAGAUGUGUUUACAUUCAAGUUGCUUCUUCACCAAUGAUUUUCAGAGUAAGAAACUAUAUACAUUUUUCCUUAUUUAGGAAAACCAGAAAACACGGCUUUAAUUUAGCCAUAUUGGUACAGAGAAUUUGCAAAGAAUGUUUUUUUCUUAUAACUUCAAAACACAGUAUAAUUAUGUUUAUGUGUAUGUACAUCAAUGAUACAUUCAAAAGGUAAACUUUAAUCAGCGAUAAUUGUUUUGUGGAAAUAAAAGUGUGAAAAACACUCCAAAGGA